UACGUAGGGUGCGAGCGUUGUCCGGAAUUACUGGGCGUAAAGGGCGUGCAGGCGGUUCGUCAAGUCAGAUGUGAAAGGUCUCGGCUAAACCGAGAAAGGUCAUUUGAAACUGGCGAACUAGAGUGAGAUAGAGGUUAACGGAAUUCCCGGUGUAGUGGUGAAAUGCGUAGAGAUUGGGAAGAACACCGGUGGCGAAAGCGCUCUGCUAGGCCGAAACUGACACUCAUGGACGAAAGCUAGGGGAGCGAAUGGG
This 253-nucleotide ribosomal RNA is filed under the name uncultured bacterium. RNAcentral describes it as "partial 16S ribosomal RNA". It matches the Rfam family "Bacterial small subunit ribosomal RNA", at positions 524 to 776 of the family's 1533-position model. The record is from RNAcentral.